Molecule: transfer RNA, 76 nt
Filed under: Lactobacillales bacterium
Lineage: Bacteria; Bacillati; Bacillota; Bacilli; Lactobacillales
Description: tRNA-Thr
Rfam family: tRNA
About the family: Transfer RNA (tRNA) molecules are approximately 80 nucleotides in length. Their secondary structure includes four short double-helical elements and three loops (D, anti-codon, and T loops). Further hydrogen bonds mediate the characteristic L-shaped molecular structure. tRNAs have two regions of fundamental functional importance: the anti-codon, which is responsible for specific mRNA codon recognition, and the 3' end, to which the tRNAs corresponding amino acid is attached (by aminoacyl-tRNA synthetases). tRNAs cope with the degeneracy of the genetic code in two manners: having more than one tRNA (with a specific anti-codon) for a particular amino acid; and 'wobble' base-pairing, i.e. permitting non-standard base-pairing at the 3rd anti-codon position.
Source: RNAcentral
GCCGACUUAGCUCAGCUGGUAGAGCAACGCAUUCGUAAUGCGUGGGUCGGAAGUUCGAGUCUUCUAGUCGGCACCA